CUGCCUCAUCGGUGGUCGGUGGACCUGGUCAGGUGACGCAUAACUGGCUCUUAAAGGGAAGCGGGCGUCACGCUCUCAAACGCCUUUAAGGGGUCUGUGCGGGUUCACGGUUCAUCUCUCUGCAUUCUGCUAACACAGAGAUAUUUUUCUGAAACUAUCUUUCAUGUGUCAGACGGCCCAGAGGAAAGACAUCAUGGAUUGUGGCAAAGUGGAGUGAAUGCAGGUGACAGAGACGGUCCCUGUGACUUAUAAACAGAGUCUGCAGGAACAGUACUGGAAAGUGGCAUUCACUUUUGAUCUGAUCGACCCGUUUCCUCACUUUCUGCUGAUGCAGUUGCUUCAGAGGGUCGACUGGGGUCAUGUGUCUCUUUACUCCUGUCCUUCAGUUCCUGAAAUAUUCUACUAUAA
Cyprinus carpio (common carp) is the source of this 408-nucleotide long non-coding RNA. RefSeq lists it as uncharacterized. The record is from RefSeq and is a predicted model, not a curated record. The transcript has 3 exons. Lineage: Eukaryota; Metazoa; Chordata; Actinopteri; Cypriniformes; Cyprinidae.